UACGGGGGGGGCAAGCGUUGUUCGGAUUUACUGGGCGUAAAGGGCGCGUAGGCGGCCAGCACAAGUCAGUUGUGAAAUCUCCGAGCUUAACUCGGAAAGGUCAACUGAUACUGUGCGGCUAGAGUGCGGAAGGGGCAACUGGAAUUCUUGGUGUAGCGGUGAAAUGCGUAGAUAUCAAGAGGAACACCUGCGGCGAAGGCGGGUUGCUGGGCCGACACUGACGCUGAUGCGCGAAAGCUAGGGGAGCGAACGGG
Molecule: ribosomal RNA, 254 nt
Filed under: uncultured bacterium
Lineage: Bacteria
Description: partial 16S ribosomal RNA
Rfam family: Bacterial small subunit ribosomal RNA
Source: RNAcentral